GUCUUCGCCAGCGUCACCUUCAACUCGACGCCAGCAAAGCCAGUAGCCCACUCCCAAGAUCAGUCCAGCAGUUGGGCCCGUCCAAGAAACCAGAGAAGCCCAUUUUGUUCAACCUAGCAAAGCCCAAGUGAUUCAAGUUCAGGCCCAAUUCCAUUGCAAGCUUAAGGCUCACUUGAAUUCAAGCCCAACUCAGCCUUUCCAAGCCCGCGAAGCAACUCAAGCCCAGUCCAAUUUCAAAAGCAAAUCUCAGAUUUGGGCUGAGAUUUGUUGGGC
Molecule: long non-coding RNA, 273 nt
Filed under: Eucalyptus grandis
Lineage: Eukaryota; Viridiplantae; Streptophyta; Magnoliopsida; Myrtales; Myrtaceae
Description: long non-coding RNA (EGRA_LNC006015)
Source: RNAcentral